Molecule: small RNA, 530 nt
Filed under: uncultured Thelephoraceae
Lineage: Eukaryota; Fungi; Basidiomycota; Agaricomycetes; Thelephorales; Thelephoraceae
Description: eukaryotic LSU rRNA
Rfam family: 5.8S ribosomal RNA (bases 207-361)
Source: RNAcentral
CAUUACUGAAUUGUCAACAAGGGUUGUUGCUGGCCCCCGCAUGGGGGCAUGUGCACGCUCUGUUUACACAUCCACUCACACCUGUGCACCCUCUGUAGUUCUAUGGCCUGGGGGCCUUGUCCUCCUGCCGUGGUUCUACGUCUUUACACACACACAUUGAAAUGAAGUCUAAUGGAAUGUAUGUCGCGUUUAACGCAAUGAAAUACAACUUUCAGCAACGGAUCUCUUGGCUCUCGCAUCGAUGAAGAACGCAGCGAAAUGCGAUAAGUAAUGUGAAUUGCAGAAUUCAGUGAAUCAUCGAAUCUUUGAACGCACCUUGCGCCCUUUGGCUAUUCCGAAGGGCAUGCCUGUUUGAGUAUCAUGAACACCUCAACUCUCAUGGCUUGCCGUGAUGAGCUUGGACUUUGGGGGUCUUGCUGGCCUGUGGUCAGCUCCUCUCAAAUGAAUUAGCCUGCCGGUGUUUGGUGGGAUCACAGGUGUGAUAACUAUCUACGNUNGUGGUUUUCCACCAGGUAACCCUCAGCAANGGA